GGCUCAGGACGAACGCUGGCGGCGUGCCUAAUACAUGCAAGUCGAACGAACUCUGGUAUUGAUUGGUGCUUGCAUCAUGAUUUACAUUUGAGUGAGUGGCGAACUGGUGAGUAACACGUGGGAAACCUGCCCAGAAGCGGGGGAUAACACCUGGAAACAGAUGCUAAUACCGCAUAACAACUUGGACCGCAUGGUCCGAGUUUGAAAGAUGGCUUCGGCUAUCACUUUUGGAUGGUCCCGCGGCGUAUUAGCUAGAUGGUGGGGUAACGGCUCACCAUGGCAAUGAUACGUAGCCGACCUGAGAGGGUAAUCGGCCACAUUGGGACUGAGACACGGCCCAAACUCCUACGGGAGGCAGCAGUAGGGAAUCUUCCACAAUGGACGAAAGUCUGAUGGAGCAACGCCGCGUGAGUGAAGAAGGGUUUCGGCUCGUAAAACUCUGUUGUUAAAGAAGAACAUAUCUGAGAGUAACUGUUCAGGUAUUGACGGUAUUUAACCAGAAAGCCACGGCUAACUACGUGCCAGCAGCCGCGGUAAUACGUAGGUGGCAAGCGUUGUCCGGAUUUAUUGGGCGUAAAGCGAGCGCAGGCGGUUUUUUAAGUCUGAUGUGAAAGCCUUCGGCUCAACCGAAGAAGUGCAUCGGAAACUGGGAAACUUGAGUGCAGAAGAGGACAGUGGAACUCCAUGUGUAGCGGUGAAAUGCGUAGAUAUAUGGAAGAACACCAGUGGCGAAGGCGGCUGUCUGGUCUGUAACUGACGCUGAGGCUCGAAAGUAUGGGUAGCAAACAGGAUUAGAUACCCUGGUAGUCCAUACCGUAAACGAUGAAUGCUAAGUGUUGGAGGGUUUCCGCCCUUCAGUGCUGCAGCUAACGCAUUAAGCAUUCCGCCUGGGGAGUACGGCCGCAAGGCUGAAACUCAAAGGAAUUGACGGGGGCCCGCACAAGCGGUGGAGCAUGUGGUUUAAUUCGAAGCUACGCGAAGAACCUUACCAGGUCUUGACAUACUAUGCAAAUCUAAGAGAUUAGACGUUCCCUUCGGGGACAUGGAUACAGGUGGUGCAUGGUUGUCGUCAGCUCGUGUCGUGAGAUGUUGGGUUAAGUCCCGCAACGAGCGCAACCCUUAUUAUCAGUUGCCAGCAUUAAGUUGGGCACUCUGGUGAGACUGCCGGUGACAAACCGGAGGAAGGUGGGGAUGACGUCAAAUCAUCAUGCCCCUUAUGACCUGGGCUACACACGUGCUACAAUGGAUGGUACAACGAGUUGCGAACUCGCGAGAGUAAGCUAAUCUCUUAAAGCCAUUCUCAGUUCGGAUUGUAGGCUGCAACUCGCCUACAUGAAGUCGGAAUCGCUAGUAAUCGCGGAUCAGCAUGCCGCGGUGAAUACGUUCCCGGGCCUUGUACACACCGCCCGUCACACCAUGAGAGUUUGUAACACCCAAAGUCGGUGGGGUAACCUUUUAGGAACCAGCCGCCUAAGGUGGGACAGAUGAUUAGGG
This 1494-nucleotide ribosomal RNA is filed under the name Lactiplantibacillus plantarum. RNAcentral's name for it is "bacterial SSU rRNA". It matches the Rfam family "Bacterial small subunit ribosomal RNA". Lineage: Bacteria; Bacillati; Bacillota; Bacilli; Lactobacillales; Lactobacillaceae. The record is from RNAcentral.